Molecule: ribosomal RNA, 423 nt
Filed under: Triticum aestivum (bread wheat)
Lineage: Eukaryota; Viridiplantae; Streptophyta; Magnoliopsida; Poales; Poaceae
Description: partial small subunit ribosomal RNA
Source: RNAcentral
AUGCAUUUCAUGUACACCUCAGUUGGUCAACCUGGUUCUAUGCAUGAUACCAGUGUCUUGUAUCAUGCAAUUGAAGCUGACAAAGACACCUUUCCUCAUCCUCCAAAGGGUAUGUACUAUCUUGUGGAUGCAGGCUAUCCUAAUAGACCUGGAUAUCUGGCACCUUACAAGGGCGAGAGGUACCAUGUUCCUGAUUUUCAACGAGGUGUGGCUCCAAGAACACUUAAGGAGAAGUUUAAUAAGAUACACUCAUCCAAGCGUAAUGUGAUCGAGAGAGCGUUUGGCGUGUGGAAAAUGAAGUGGCAGAUUUUACUAAAGAUGCCAAAUUAUUCAGUUGAAACUCAAAAGAUGAUAGUGGCUGCAACUAUGACCCUUCACAACUAUAUUCGUUAUCAUGAUAAGGGCGAUCUUCAUUUUCUUUGA